RNAcentral lists this ribosomal RNA (1487 nucleotides) under metagenome. RNAcentral's name for it is "bacterial SSU rRNA". It matches the Rfam family "Bacterial small subunit ribosomal RNA". The record is from RNAcentral.
AGAGUUUGAUCAUGGCUCAGGAUGAACGCUAGCUACAGGCUUAACACGUGCAAGUCGAGGGGCAGCAUGGUCUUAGCUUGCUAAGGCCGAUGGCGACCGGCGCACGGGUGAGUAACACGUAUCCAACCUGCCGUCUACUCUUGGACAGCCUUCUGAAAGGAAGAUUAAUACAAGAUGGCAUCAUGAGUCCGCAUGUUCACAUGAUUAAAGGUAUUCCGGUAGACGAUGGGGAUGCGUUCCAUUAGAUAGUAGGCGGGGUAACGGCCCACCUAGUCUUCGAUGGAUAGGGGUUCUGAGAGGAAGGUCCCCCCACAUUGGAACUGAGACACGGUCCAAACUCCUACGGGAGGCAGCAGUGAGGAAUAUUGGUCAAUGGGCGAGAGCCUGAACCAGCCAAGUAGCGUGAAGGAUGACUGCCCUAUGGGUUGUAAACUUCUUUUAUAAAGGAAUAAAGUCGGGUAUGGAUACCCGUUUGCAUGUACUUUAUGAAUAAGGAUCGGCUAACUCCGUGCCAGCAGCCGCGGUAAUACGGAGGAUCCGAGCGUUAUCCGGAUUUAUUGGGUUUAAAGGGAGCGUAGAUGGAUAUUUAAGUCAGUUGUGAAAGUUUGCGGCUCAACCGUAAAAUUGCAGUUGAUACUGGAUAUCUUGAGUGCAGUUGAGGCAGGCGGAAUUCGUGGUGUAGCGGUGAAAUGCUUAGAUAUCACGAAGAACUCCGAUUGCGAAGGCAGCCUGCUAAGCUGCAACUGACAUUGAGGCUCGAAAGUGUGGGUAUCAAACAGGAUUAGAUACCCUGGUAGUCCACACGGUAAACGAUGAAUACUCGCUGUUUGCGAUAUACUGCAAGCGGCCAAGCGAAAGCGUUAAGUAUUCCACCUGGGGAGUACGCCGGCAACGGUGAAACUCAAAGGAAUUGACGGGGGCCCGCACAAGCGGAGGAACAUGUGGUUUAAUUCGAUGAUACGCGAGGAACCUUACCCGGGCUUAAAUUGCAGAUGAAUUACGGUGAAAGCCGUAAGCCGCAAGGCAUCUGUGAAGGUGCUGCAUGGUUGUCGUCAGCUCGUGCCGUGAGGUGUCGGCUUAAGUGCCAUAACGAGCGCAACCCUUGUUGUCAGUUACUAACAGGUUUUGCUGAGGACUCUAACAAGACUGCCAUCGUAAGAUGUGAGGAAGGUGGGGAUGACGUCAAAUCAGCACGGCCCUUACGUCCGGGGCUACACACGUGUUACAAUGGGGGGUACAGAGGGCCGCUACCACGCGAGUGGAUGCCAAUCCCCAAAACCUCUCUCAGUUCGGACUGGAGUCUGCAACCCGACUCCACGAAGCUGGAUUCGCUAGUAAUCGCGCAUCAGCCACGGCGCGGUGAAUACGUUCCCGGGCCUUGUACACACCGCCCGUCAAGCCAUGGGAGCCGGGGGUACCUGAAGUGCGUAACCGCGAGGAGCGCCCUAGGGUAAAACUGGUGACUGGGACUAAGUCGUAACAAGGUA